AUUUUCUUAAAAUUAUGACGUGUUCGUGAUAUAUUUUAGACGAGUAUAUUUUGCAUAAUAACUAUUACAAAAAAUUAAGUUAAAAAUUCAUAUAAAAGGCAUGUGAUAAAGUUAUGUAAUUAACGUAAUAAGCAUUUUUAUUGAACAACUUACACUUAAGUCAAUUUUGACAGAUUAAGAAAAGUAAAUAAAAACGGCCGGCACCUUGGGCGGUUAUUAUUUUAACAAAUUUUUGCUGGAAUCAACGCUAUACGCGGCUUUUUUUUUUACCAAGCAGAAGAGGGGCCAGGAACGAAAAACAAAAAAGUACUUGAAAAUGCGUAUGCGUGUGGCGUACGUGAUGGUGGAGGCAAAAUGUGCGUGUCCGGAUUUUAAUAAAAAUAUUGGCAACACAACGCGUACUUGAACUAUAUAAAACAACUCAAAUAAGGUACAACAUUAUGAUAACCGGAAAAAAUUGAGCUACGUACAUCCUAGUUUUCUUACUCCUGGUAAAUUUCAAUUAACGUUGGAAACUUUUACUUCAAAUCAUUCUAAAGAUUAUCAGUAGUUUAAUAAAUUUGAAAAGUGGUUAAAAAGUUUGUACACGUUGUUA
Long non-coding RNA from Aphis gossypii (cotton aphid), 595 nucleotides. RefSeq lists it as uncharacterized. Lineage: Eukaryota; Metazoa; Arthropoda; Insecta; Hemiptera; Aphididae. The record is from RefSeq and is a predicted model, not a curated record. The transcript has 4 exons.